This 750-nucleotide ribosomal RNA is filed under the name Geomorium geodon. Its description in RNAcentral is "partial large subunit ribosomal RNA". It matches the Rfam family "Eukaryotic large subunit ribosomal RNA", at positions 77 to 843 of the family's 3401-position model. Lineage: Eukaryota; Fungi; Ascomycota; Pezizomycetes; Pezizales; Geomoriaceae. The record is from RNAcentral.
GCCUCAGUAACGGCGAGUGAAGCGGCAAAAGCUCAAAUUUGAAAUCUGGCGCCUGCGGUGUCCGAGUUGUAAUUUGGAGAGGCGUCUUCUGGUGGGACCCAGCCUAUCUUCCUUGGAACAGGAGGUCACAGAGGGUGAGAAUCCCGUCCUUGGCUGGAUGCUCCCACCUGUAUGUAGUGUCUUCAACGAGUCGAGUUGUUUGGGAAUGCAGCUCAAAAUGGGUGGUAAAUUUCAUCUAAAGCUAAAUACUGGCGAGAGACCGAUAGCGCACAAGUAGAGUGAUCGAAAGAUGAAAAGCACUUUGAAAAUAGAGUCAAAAAGUACGUGAAAUUGUUGAAAGGGAAGCGCUGGAGACCAGACUCGGCCUUGGACAAACAGCUCCCCUUCUGGUGGGUGCACUUGCCCUCGGCUGGGCCAGCAUCAGUUGGGGUGGCGGGACAAAGGCCCGUGGAAUGUGGCUCCCCUCGGGAAGUGUUAAAGCCAUGGGUGCAAUGCCGUCUACCCCGACUGAGGACCGCGCUUCUGCUAGGAUGCUGGCGUAAUGGUCUUCAGCGACCCGUCUUGAAACACGGACCAAGGAGUCUAACAUCUAUGCGAGUGUUUGGGCUUCAAACCCUCACGCGGAAUGAAAGUGAACGGAGGUGGGAACCCCGCGAGGGGCGCACCAUCGACCGAUCCUGAUGUCUUCNGAUGGAUUUGAGUAGGAGCAUAGCUGUUGGGACCCGAAAGAUGGUGAACUAUGCCUGAAUA